CAAACUCCUAGGCUCAAGUAAUUCUCCAAAAGUGUUGGGAUUACAGAUGUGAACCACUGUGCCCAGCCCAAAAUCUUAUUUUAGUAAUUGACCCAAUAGUGCCCUUUGUAGCAUUCCAUAGUGCAGGAUCUAGUCAGCCUAAGAUUAGAUAUUGCAUUUAGUUGUCCUGUCUUGUAGGCUCCAUCAAUGAGGAACACUUCCACAGCCCUUCUUUGCUUUUAUGAGUACAGUAGUGGUUCUCAGCUGGAGGAUUUCUCCUACAGUCGGAGGGAAAACCCGGGAAUGAGGAAUGCUGAUGGACAUAGCACUAUCAGAGGACUUGAUCCUGUUUCUCAGAGAGGAAGACAGACACUCUUAGCAUAAUGAGGGUCAAAAGUUGGGCCAGGCCGGGCACGGUGGCUCACGCCUGUAAUCCCAGCACUUUGGGAGGCUGAGGCAGGCAGAUCACUUGAGGUCAGGAGUUUGAGGCCAGCCUGGCCAACAUGGUGAAACCUCAUCUCCACUAAAAAUACAAAAAUUAGCUGGGUGUGGUGGCACAUGCCUGUAGUCCCAGCUACUCAGGAGGCUUAGGCAGAAGAAUCGCUAGAAUCCAGGAGGCAGAGGCUGCAGUGAGCCGAGAUCACACCACUGCACUCCAGCCUGGGUGACAGAGCGAGACUCUGUCUCAAAAAAAAAAAAAAAAAAGAAAUUGGGGCUAGCAGUAUCGAUAAUAGGGGAUCUCAUACCAAGAGAGCAAAUGGCCCAACAUUCAUCUUCAGAGUAAAGAGGUCUGGUUAAAAAAAAAA
Long non-coding RNA from Homo sapiens (human), 785 nucleotides. RefSeq lists it as uncharacterized. The transcript is spliced from 2 exons. The record is from RefSeq and is a predicted model, not a curated record. NCBI's taxonomy places the organism in Eukaryota, Metazoa, Chordata, Mammalia, Primates, Hominidae.